Molecule: long non-coding RNA, 752 nt
Organism: Triticum dicoccoides
Lineage: Eukaryota; Viridiplantae; Streptophyta; Magnoliopsida; Poales; Poaceae
Exons: 2
Source: RefSeq, a predicted model, not a curated record
AAAUUGAUUCCGUGUUUAGUGGCACAGCACGGGGCUAAACGCAUCUCCCCGACUGCGCAUCGGCAUCCAUCUCCAGUUAUCCACCGCCGCGCUCGCUUGCACAACACCAGCGCCGCCAGCGCAACCUCCCUCGCGCCGCUCACCCCCGUCCCUCGCUUGUCCGGCUAUCCUGUGGCGCACGGCGACCGUCGGCGGCCCGCCCGUCCGCCUCACCGUCGGCGGCCGUCCGACCGUCUCUCCUGUGGCGCUCGGCGCCUGUCCCUGGCCCGUCCCCCACACAGCCGAUGGCGACUCCGCCGUCCUCCACACGGCCGUCAACAAAGACUACACGACGCCGCGACAACGUAGAAGCUCCUCCCUUAGCAGAUGCGUUCUUCCUCUGCGCCACCUGUGUGGAACAGUUCGUGCGCCCAGUGCCGCCGAUUCGAUGGUCUGCAGAUGUUUGAUCUAAGAUGCCCGACUGUACUACAUGUACAUGGAAGAAGAAAGCUCAAUGAACCGAAGCUGGGGAAAAGGAAUAACCAAGGAGGGGAGGGGAGGUCACAUCCUUGAAGCCAACGGCAAAUUAAGGCAUCACCUUGAAUUUGUAACUCCAGUAACUAAAUGGAGAUCCUUUUUUAGGUCGAACUUGUGAUCCUUCUUAUUACUGAAACCAAGUAUCAAUCUGAGAAUGAUUGUUCUCUUAUUGUGGUCUGACAAGACUUAAAUGUUGGUAUAACCUGAACAGUGUCUUAUUGCAUUAGUUUUUUUUA